AUGCAUAUGUAUGUGUUGAUAUGUACACAUGAGUUCAGGUACCCACAGAGACCAUGUCAAAUCUCACUGGAACUGCAGUUACAGAUGACUGUGAUACCUGGUAUGAGUAUUGAACCUGAGUCCUCCGGAAGAGCAGGGUGUGCUCCUAAUCACUGGUCCAUCUCUCAGCCAAUGUCAACCUUUCUUUAAGUUGGAUAUCACGAGAAAUGUUACAUAUCAGUCUAACCAUGGCAGUGCCAUAGUCUUAAAUAGCAUCUUUUCACAAGUUCUGUGGGCACUCUUAAUUGUCUUGAGGAAAUUCAGUUGUAGAUUUAUAGGAGGUGAUGACUUUUUUUUUUUUUUUGGUACAGGACAGAGUGUGAGAGAAUUGUUUCAAGAAGGUCUUCAGAUCACAGUAGAGGGGAGGCGACUGACAAGAGCCCUUGAAUUCACAUCAUUUCAGUACACUAUGACAUCAUGACAUUACUUGAGUCUACCACUCCUUGAGACAUGAGAAGGGCCAUUUCAGAUUCACCAAACAGUGGAGCAGAAAGCAGAGAUCACCAUUCACUUAGUCACCACACGCGCAAACACCUUCACUGGCAGGGUCCUCCAUGCAGGUGGUAGCUUUGGCAGCAUCUGCUCUUCCUGGAUACGCUAUUUGUCCCUCAGAGAAAGUCUACAAGGAAACAAAUCUUUUGUCACUGGGGAAGAGCAAAUGCCCCGUUUUUACGUGUGAAGGGAUCAGAAUGAGGAAAACAAUCCCCAUCACAGAGCAAAGACUACAAGCCCAUCCUGGACCCAGAUCAUUAGUGCUUCCAUGGGGGAGAAGAACUGCCGAAAAAAGAGCAUGUUUAGAGAUCUGGCACACAUACCUCUCUUAAGAUGGAUGGUGAAGCAGAAUGAGAGGAAAAGUCCCAUCUGUCACUCAAAAAUCAGGUAAGUGUCACAGCAGUAUACCAGCAUGGUUGUGACAAGAACAUGGAAGCCCCAUAUCACAAAGAAGCUGAAAGCUGGGCUUGGGGGAGGGACACUGAGGAAGCUCUAUGCUAAGUCCAAAGAUAUCCUAAGGAAUUUGAAGCCAUGGGUGUUCUGAAUAUUGUCAUAGCAACAUAGCACCAAACUCAAGUCAGCUAACUAGAGUGACUUACCGACCCUCCCUGUACCCUUCAUUCACAAAACCUUAGUGGGUUAUGAUCCUCAGCCAUCCACAGCAUAAAUACCAUUCACUGUAGUUACUUCUGACCUAUCAAACUUUAAGUUAGACACAAAAUAGGUAAGAAAAUCUGUCUAUGGUUAAGAGACAGAGCAGCCUCAGAACUCAGAUAUGGUUAGAUGUUAGAAACACUAGAAAAGCAAUGAAAAAUCACUAUUAUUGAUUGCUUUGUGAAACUGGGGGAUUAAAAUCAUAUACAGCUAAGGAAUUUCACUAGAAGGAUUCACACUGUAUGGAAAUUUGAACAGAGUUAUUGUGAAGACCACCCUGAAAAGAGGCAUGACUUGGUGGGGUCAUCAGUAGACUUGACAUAGUGAGAGUUUAGUGAACUUUAUAACAGAUUGGUAGGAAAUGAGUGGGAAUGAAACACAAGGUGAAAGAAUAAUGUAAAAGAAAACAGAGAACUUAUAAUGGCUGCUGGGCCACAUUACAUGGUCUAGCAAAUGUGUAAUGGGAAUUAGAAACAGAAGGCAAGAAAGCAGGGGAAGGGGAUGCAUAAGCCAUGCUCAUUUUUAAUGUAACAGAUACACAUAUGAAGAGAGGUGAGAGUGGACAGAUACUUCUCUCAUUUGAAAUUAUAUAAGCUGGAAGCCUCUUUAACAUGCUGGAAGAUAAUAAUCAAAUGAGGAAUUCUUUACUUAGAAGUUGCAGUUUAAAAUCCAAGUGCAAGUAAGAACGUUUUAAAUAAACAAAAAGCAAUUCCUUCCCUGGAUUACAUGAUAUGUUCAAGUAAGUCCUUCAAUAGAAGGCAAUGACACUCCAGGGAAACCUGGGUUUCCAGCAGAUGAAGGACUCUGAAAACAGGAAAAAACAGGUUCAAUAUUAAAAUAGUUUGUAUUCCUUUUAUCCCUGUAAGUGAUAAAUGAUUUGCCUAAAUAAUCACAAGUAGUGGCGGUCUUCUCAGUGUAUAGAACUCAUGAUAUCUAACAUUGGCACAGACAGUGAGACAAAGGGGCUGAGAGGGUGCAGAGUUCAAAUCUCACACCAUCAGUGGAGCCUUAUGUUAACUGAAUAUGAAUUUGAUUAAUUAAAGGAGUAUAUGGUAAGCCUUAGGAAGAAGUUGGCAAAGAAUUUAAAUGGUAGUAAAGCCGGAUGUCUAAAUGACCUUACUCUACACAGUUACUGUUAAUCUGGUUCUCUUUCUUUGAUUUUUAUUUAUAGGCCACUUGUAUUUUUUGUAAGCCAUGUUCAUUUUUAAUGUAACACAUACAUAUGAAUAUUUGUAAAUAUAUUAUGGAAAUUUC
RNAcentral lists this long non-coding RNA (2439 nucleotides) under Cricetulus griseus (Chinese hamster). RNAcentral describes it as "lncRNA (ENSCGRG00000025086.1)". Lineage: Eukaryota; Metazoa; Chordata; Mammalia; Rodentia; Cricetidae. The record is from RNAcentral.